RNAcentral lists this ribosomal RNA (1476 nucleotides) under Paenibacillus sp. RNAcentral describes it as "partial 16S ribosomal RNA". It matches the Rfam family "Bacterial small subunit ribosomal RNA". The record is from RNAcentral. Lineage: Bacteria; Bacillati; Bacillota; Bacilli; Caryophanales; Paenibacillaceae.
ACGGGCGAGCUACACAUGCAGUCGAGCGGAUCUUACUUUCUUGGCUAACAGUACCGGCGGACGGAUGAGUAACACGUGGGUAACCUGCCCCUAAUACUGGGAGGAAUUCUUAAACAAAUGCUGAUACCAGAUACGCCAUUCUAUCGCAUGAUCCAAGCGAGAAAGGCGGAGCGCUCUGCCACUUAAGGCUGGACCCGCGUCGCAAUUUCUUGUUGGUGAGGUAACGGCUCGCCACGGCGACUAUCCGUACCCAACCUGAGAUGGUGAUCGGCCACACUGGGACUGAGACACGGCCCAUACUCCUACCGGAGGCGGCAAUAAGGAAUCUUCGGCAAUGGACCAAAGUCUGACGGACCAACGCCGCGUGAAUGAUGAAAGUUUUCUGAUCCUAUUUCUCUGUUGCCGAGGAAAAACGCUUACAAAAGUAACUGCUCUGAAGGUGACGGUACCAGAAAACAAAGCCCCGGCUAAUUACAUGCCACCAGCCGCGGUAAUACGUACGGGGCUUACGUUGUCUUGAUUUAUUGGGCGUAAAGCGCGCGCACGCGGCCUUGUAAAUCUGUCAUUUACACUCUUAGCUCAACUUCUAGUCUCGAUGGAGACUGCAUAGCUUGAGUGCAGAAGAGGAAAGUGUAAUUCCACGUGUAGCGAUGAAAUGCGUAUAGAUGUGGAGGAACACCAGUGGCGAAAGCGACUUUCUGGGCUGUAACUGACGCUGAGCGCGCGAAAUGCGUGAGCAGCAAACAGGAUAUACAUAUCGCUAGGUAGUCGCACGUCCGUAACGACUGAAUAGCUAGGUGUUGACCGUGUGUCGAUAUCCUUGGCGUGACCAAACUUAACAUCAUUAACACUCCCGCCUGAGGGGAGGUAUCGCUACGCAAUGACACUACACAUCGAAUGUGAACUGACGGGCGGACACGCACAAGUCGAUGCAGUAGUGUGGAUUUAGAUCGCAGCCACACGAACAAUACCUAGCCCGUGCUGUACGUACCCAUCUGACAGUACUAGAAAUAGAUGCCUUCGUCACGUACGAUGCAAGACUACGUGCAUGCAUGGAUGUCAGUCAGCUCCUGUCGUAGAUGGUGGAGUUACGUUCCACCAACGAAAGCAACCUCGUACCUAACUGCAGUCAUCGGUGGCCUUCUGACUAGCUGCGCGUACAUCCGAGAGUGACGAUGGGGAUGACGUCAAAUCAUCCUGCCCCUUAUGACCCGGGGUACCCACCUAGUACAAUGGCCGAUACAACGGGAAGCGAAACCGCGAGGUGGAGCCAAUCCUAUCAAAGUCGGUCUCAGUUCGGAUUGCAGGCUGCAACUCGCCUGCAUGAAGUCGGAAUUGCUAGUAAUCGCGGAUCAGCAUGCCGCGGUGAAUACGUUCCCGGGCCUUGUACACACCGCCCGUCACACCACGAGAGUUUACAACACCCGAAGCCGGUGGGGUAACCGCAAGAGCGCAGCCGUCGAUAGAUGCCCCACC